UUUAAUGAUAAUAAUAUGGAUAUCCAAUGGAUAAUCCAUAUCAAAGUAAACAUCACACUUAUUCGUAAUAGCUAAUUUACACAAAUAAUCAGCUGCAGUAUUUUUAUUACGAUUGAUCCAAUUAAUUUGAAUCGAAUUAAAAUUUUUAAAGGCUUCGCACUCUUGCUUAAUGCGCUGGCCCAAAAUGGUAAUAUCAUGCUUCCUCUUAUUAACCUUGUUGACCAACACAGCGCUAUUAGAUUCCAGAAUUAGCUGGGUCAAAUUUAAUUUUUUGGCUAACUUUAUUCCUUCUUCAAACGCCUCCAGCUCAGCCCAACCAACGUCCAAAGUUUCUUCCCUGAAUUU
RNAcentral lists this long non-coding RNA (345 nucleotides) under Gossypium barbadense (sea-island cotton). RNAcentral describes it as "long non-coding RNA (GBAR_LNC007990)". The record is from RNAcentral. Lineage: Eukaryota; Viridiplantae; Streptophyta; Magnoliopsida; Malvales; Malvaceae.